This 497-nucleotide ribosomal RNA is filed under the name uncultured bacterium. RNAcentral's name for it is "partial 16S ribosomal RNA". It matches the Rfam family "Bacterial small subunit ribosomal RNA", at positions 28 to 507 of the family's 1533-position model. The record is from RNAcentral.
GAUGAACGCUGGCGGCGUGCCUAAUACAUGCAAGUCGAGCGAACAGACGAGGAGCUUGCUCCUCUGACGUUAGCGGCGGACGGGUGAGUAACACGUGGAUAACCUACCUAUAAGACUGGGAUAACUUCGGGAAACCGGAGCUAAUACCGGAUAAUAUAUUGAACCGCAUGGUUCAAUAGUGAAAGACGGUUUUGCUGUCACUUAUAGAUGGAUCCGCGCCGCAUUAGCUAGUUGGUAAGGUAACGGCUUACCAAGGCAACGAUGCGUAGCCGACCUGAGAGGGUGAUCGGCCCCACUGGACCUGAGACACGGUCCAGACACCAACGGGAGGCAGCAGUAGGGAAUCUUCCGCAAUGGGCGAAACCCUGACGGAGCAACGCCGAGUGAGUGAUGAAGGUCUUCGGUUCGUAAAACUCUGUUAUUGGGGAAGAACAGAUGUGUAAGUAACUAUGCACGUCUUGACGGUACCAAAUCAGAAAGCCACGGCUAACUACGUG